RNAcentral lists this ribosomal RNA (301 nucleotides) under uncultured bacterium. Its description in RNAcentral is "partial 16S ribosomal RNA". It matches the Rfam family "Bacterial small subunit ribosomal RNA", at positions 509 to 808 of the family's 1533-position model. The record is from RNAcentral.
CAGUAGCCACGGUAAUACGUAGGUCCCGAGCGUUGUCCGGAUUUAUUGGGCGUAAAGCGAGCGCAGGCGGUUAGAUAAGUCUGAAGUUAAAGGCUGUGGCUUAACCAUAGUGCGCUUUGGAAACUGUUUAACUUGAGUGCAAGAGGGGAGAGUGGAAUUCCUAGUGUAGCGGUGAAAUGCGUAGAGAUUAGGAGGAACACCAGUGGCGAAGGCGGCUUUUUGGCCUGUAACUGACACUGAGGCGCGAAAGCGUGGGGAGCAAACAGGAUUAGAUACCCGCGUAGUCCCUGUCUCUUAUACA